RNAcentral lists this ribosomal RNA (890 nucleotides) under uncultured bacterium. Its description in RNAcentral is "bacterial SSU rRNA". It matches the Rfam family "Bacterial small subunit ribosomal RNA", at positions 53 to 958 of the family's 1533-position model. The record is from RNAcentral.
ACAUGCAGUCGAACGAGAGAAGAGAAGCUUGCUUUUCUGAUCUAGUGGCGGACGGGUGAGUAACACGUGAGCAAUCUGCCUUUCAGAGGGGGAUACCGAUUGGAAACGAUCGUUAAUACCGCAUAAUAUAAUUGAACCGCAUGAUUUGAUUAUCAAAGAUUUAUCGCUGAAAGAUGAGCUCGCGUCUGAUUAGCUAGUUGGUAAGGUAACGGCUUACCAAGGCGACGAUCAGUAGCCGGACUGAGAGGUUGAUCGGCCACAUUGGGACUGAGACACGGCCCAGACUCCUACGGGAGGCAGCAGUGGGGAAUAUUGCACAAUGGAGGAAACUCUGAUGCAGCGAUGCCGCGUGAGGGAAGAAGGUUUUAGGAUUGUAAACCUCUGUCUUCAGGGACGAAAAAAGACGGUACCUGAGGAGGAAGCUCCGGCUAACUACGUGCCAGCAGCCGCGGUAAUACGUAGGGAGCGAGCGUUGUCCGGAAUUACUGGGUGUAAAGGGGGCGUAGGCGGGAUCGCAAGUCAGAUGUGAAAACUAUGGGCUUAACCCAUAAACUGCAUUUGAAACUGUGGUUCUUGAGUGAAGUAGAGGUAAGCGGAAUUCCUAGUGUAGCGGUGAAAUGCGUAGAUAUUAGGAGGAACAUCAGUGGCGAAGGCGGCUUACUGGGCUUUAACUGACGCUGAGGCUCGAAAGCGUGGGGAGCAAACAGGAUUAGAUACCCUGGUAGUCCACGCCGUAAACGAUGAUUACUAGGUGUGGGGGGACUGACCCCUUCCGUGCCGCAGCAAACGCAAUAAGUAAUCCACCUGGGGAGUACGACCGCAAGGUUGAAACUCAAAGGAAUUGACGGGGGCCCGCACAAGCAGUGGAGUAUGUGGAUUAAUUCGAAGCA